AAUACAAAAAUCCCAUCACCACAUAAUACAUGAUGAAGAAUGCAACAACCCAAAACACAAGAAAACAGAUAGAAAGACAGAAGAAUUCUUACAAAUCUCUCUCUCUCUUUCUCACCCUUUUUCUUACUAUGACUAUGUGAAUCUUAUCUAUAGCUUCCAUUUGGAUUUAAAUUUUAAAGGAGAAGAAAGGAAAAUGAAAGGUUUGAGAGACAUAAAAUACAUUUAUGAAUUGACUCUAAAACUUUCUAUUUCUCUUAAUUCUCUACCAAAACUCAACUCGCAAAAUGAAUACUUAUAAUAAAAGGGUUCAGAAAACAACACUUCUCUUUGCCACAGCAUAGCUUCUACUUCUUGGAUAAGAAUCUGGCUUAAAAGUAACAACACCAUCAUAUGACAAAUCGAAAGGCAUAUCCUCAUCAAUCUUAGCCAUUCCAACACUACUAGACUUAGACAACCCAUUAGAACUUUUUUGUUGUUGUUCCUGUUUCAUAACCAAAUCCAUAUCAAAUCUACUUUCUAUAGUCCUAGCAGAUGCUGCUCUCAUAAGCUCAGCAAAAUCUUCAUUUUCCUCUGACCUUGUUGAUGUGGCUGUGCUAUAACUUCUAGGAAAAGAUGAGAACCCUCCAGCACCAUCCAUAGUGUUGCCAUAACUUAUGCUUUGGCCACAAUUUGUUAUGCUUCUAACAUACAUGUCCCUUGCUUUUACAAGAGCUCUUAUUGGUGAAACUAUGAUCCUAACCAAUAAGCUUUUGCUGUGACCCUUGGUCCUCAUAAUAAAAGGGUAUUAUUGUGUUGGUUUUUGUUGAUGAAUAAACUUGUAGUAUAAUUGUUCACACCAGAAAAAAUGGGUGCAUUAAUGGUUACAAACUUAUAAUGAUUGUCUAUGAUGUGAGUGGAAUAAAGAGGAUCUAAAAAAUGGUUUGGAAAGUUAUGAGAUAUAAGAAGAAGGUUGUUUUUGAAGACAAGUGGAAUUGGAGAAUUGAUUUUGUAGUUGUCAGCAAUGAAAGUUUGUGCUAUAUAUAUAUAUAUACAUAUAUCUAUAUAUAAAUGUAAUGAUAUUCUUGUAUAGUAUGGAAGAGGGAAGUUAUUCAUUAUAGAAAAAUUGUCAUAUAAUCCAUUAUGUAAAUAUAUCAUAUUAUUUUCUUUAUUUGUUAUUGAGGUAUUUCCUUAUAUUUUUAAUAAUAAAAAUGUUAUUUCAUUAUAUAUAAAAAGAUAAAAAUGUUUUUUCAUGUUUUUUUAAUAUUUUUGUAUAGAUUUAUCUCUUCAUCAAUGUUGAUGAUCCUUGUUCCAAAUAAAUGUGGAUAGGAAACUAUGAGCUCCAUGUGUACUUUUUCAUAGCACACCGGAUUUGUAAACUGUUGAAUUAAGGAUAAGAUAAGAAUAAUAACGCGGAACGUGGUGGCGUAAACUAUCACUACAAUGAUACUGUAUAGUUUAUAAUGUACCAAGUUGUUUAUAAAUAUUAUUUAAUUUUUUUAAAAAUGGACUAUUAGCAAAGUUGGUGGGGAAACUCCAAAAAAUGAAUGAGAAUUUAAAAACUAAUUAAUAAAUUAGUGUUGGAAGGUUAUGAGUGAAUAGAUUAUAACUUAAGUGGUGAAAGAUGUAUAAAAGUUUACAAGUUAUAUGAUUAAAUUUAAUUUGUUAUUAUUACAUGAUAAAUUAGUUAGUAUGAAUAAAACUCGCGUAGCCUUAAUUUAUGGGGUAUAAGAUAAGAAUUUAUAGAUUAAGUAAAUUAUUUAAACGUGUUUAUCUAUCAAUCAUCAUUUAAUAUCCUAUUUCUUAUCGAACAAGUUAAUUAACUAAGUCAUGUAUGAGAGCUUGCAAACUAAUAGUUCUUCUAUCAAUUUUAGUAUAUUAGUAUUUAUAAUGGGUGAGGCACAAACUAUCAAUCUUCUUUCUUCCAUCCUAACCAUCAAACCAUUAACUUUUUUUUUAUUUUUUAAAUUUAUUAUGGAUAAGACUCAAACUUAAAACAUUCUUUAGUUCUUGUAUUUUAUAUAUGUGAAGAUAGCUAAAAUUUAUAGUUAUGUAUGUGACUUAUUAAAUUAAAUUUAUUAAAGCCUUGGAACUACAAGCUUAGGUUGUUGAACAAUGUCUAACCGAGUCUUAUUCUCUAAUAAUAUCUUGGUAGGCGCUCAACGCUCCCAGGGACGUAGGCAUAAUUGGCCGAACCCCGUUAACAAAUUUUCUUGUUUAUUCUCUUCUAUUUAUUCUAUGCACAUUAUUUGAUUGCUUAUGGCCAACGCUGCGCAACGAUCGCUUCCGCUGCACCAACAACACUUAAUUGAGAUGUUUCUAUUUGGUGCUUAUAUCUAGUGCACAUUAUAAGAAGGGACAUGAGUCCAAUAUAUAACUUAACAUUGGUUACUUACUCUAUUCUAAUACUAGACAACAAUGUGAGACUAAUACGAUAACAUAUUUCAAGCAUUCCCAACAAUCUCCACCUUGAUUGAAAUAGAAGAAUAUAUCGUUCCUUAGGAAAUCUACACAAGAAUCUCCACCUUAGCGAAUAUAUGAUUUCACAUUGUUCAAUGUCUAAUUCUCUUUAACUGCUCCCCUCCAGCAUAGACCUUCCGAGUAUCCUUGACGAUGUUACCAAGAGCCUAGCUCUCUAAACUUGUAGUGUAGCUUCUCGUACCGCCAUCAAAUGGAACACGUCGCCUAGCCACCUAUUGCUAGGAAGUCUUUCGAUAUAUUGAACCUCUACACAAAAGUUCACCAACAAUCGUCCUCUUCAACACUUAGUAAAACUGAACCUUGAAGCUUCCAUGGAAAGACUCAACCGCUACCACCAUUGUCUAGUUCGACAAUCCUAGUUCAAAAGAACUAUCAUACUCCACCAUAAGGAAUAUACCCACAACACACACCUUGCGUCAAUGCUAACUAAUGUAUGUGUCACAUCCUUGCAUCCAAGUCAAUGCACAUGUCACACCUCUGCAUCUCUACCAAUGCUCGUGUUACAACUUGCAUCAAAGCCAAUGCCUAUGUCACACCUUAUAUCAAAGUCAGUCAUCGCCCUUGUGCUUUUGUGGAUGUGCUAAUAAUUAAUAUUUUUCACUAUGAUGUGUCACACAUGCCAUUACGAUAUUCUCUUUCUCAUCUCCAAUGAGAACAUUCUCUCAACAUCUAGAGAGAUAUUGUCAGCAUCUAACUCAACACUUUUGUCUCUAUUGACGCACCUUGUCUAGCCAUCACGCCGUCACCCUCUUUAGCCAUUAUCUGACGUAUGGGUUAAGAGUCAACUACUAAUUGGCUCUGAUAUCAAUUGUUGGUGCAGUGGAAGCGAUCGUUGUGCAACAUUGGCUACAAGCAAUCAAUUAAAGACAUAGAAUAAAUAGAAGAGAAGAAACAAUAGAAUUUGUUAACGGGGUUCGGCUAAUUGUGUCUACGUCCCCGAGAGCGCUGAGAGGUUACCAAGAUAUUAUUAGAGAAUAAGGAUUACAAACCCUAGCACAGCUAUGGGCUCACCUGCCCAUUGAAUGUUUCUAUUUGGUACUUAUAUCUGGUACACAUUAUAACAAGGGACCUGAGUCCAAUAUAACAUUAGUUACUUUACUCUAUUCCAAUACUAUACAAUAUGAGACUAAUACAAUAACAGAUUUCAAGUAUUCCCAUGGAGUGAUUUAUAGUUGUGACUAGCUCUUAAAUCUGGUCUAGUGCUAAAUUAAUAAUGAGUUUUUUUUGUUUGCUUUUUUAAUAGCGGAACAACACUAAAUGGGCAUUGGUAGAACAAAAGGAAAUCACUUUUAAAAGUUUAAGAUGAUAUAUUAAUUAAACAUACUGUUCACGUGAAUUAUUGGCAACCAAUAAUGCCAUGCCCACUACUGAUGAGAAGGGAAUAUCUUAAAAAUAUAUAAAGGAAAAACACAUAUCUCAUCAUCCUGUCGUGGAGGAAGACUAUAUGUUGAAGCACAAAGCGAUACAUUAUAAUCAUAAAUAUAGGGAAAGUAUAAAUAUAAUAAUAUACAUCAUAAACAAAUUAUUAAAGGAAUCAAUUUCUUUAGGUGUUUGAAUGUUCUCCAAACAAAUAUUGAUUCCAGAGUAAAAGGAAGAAACAAAUUCGAGUAUGAAACAUAAGAAAAGAGAAAUUAGACUAUUUACCAAAAACAAUAAAAAUUAAAAUUAAGAGAAAUUACAGUUUUCUCUUUUAAACAUUCAUCACUAACCACAUAAAACAAAAACAAUCAAACUUUUUUCACUAGGUAUCAUUUAUACUUUUAUAUGUAUCGAUGGCCAUAAUGCCCCACUUACCACAUAAAAUUAAACCUUAGUACAAAAGUUUUUUGUCACUAAACUUCCUAUAUAUUUGGUUUAAAUUAAAGUGAAAACACUAACUUUAAUAUUCCCAACUACACCAGAAAUCGCGGCUAAAUUGUAAUGAUGUGCAUCAAAAUCGCUGCUUAGUUUUGUUGUGCACACAUUUGCAAUUCAAAUAUUAUGCAUUAGUUACAGAUGAGUGAUAAUAUGAUACAUGUCACAAUUUUAAUGACUGAGAAAAUAUUUUAUCUCUUUAUAUAAUAAUAUUUUAUUCUCAAGUGAAAUUUGUAUUUUAGCUCUAGUUUUUGCUAAUUACUCGGAGUUUUAAGUAGUAACAUUUAAUUAAGUCAAUAAAAAACAUUUAAGUCAAUAAAAUAAAAUAUUCUCAAUUGGUUAGUGGCUAGUAGUAGUAGUUACACUAAAAACAUGUGGCAUGAGUUUCAUAUGCUAUGUUGUUGUAUGUAAAGGUGUCAAAAUGGACUAUCCGAAUAGGUUUGGGUUAGCCCAUGUUGGAUUUGGGCUAAAUCUAAUCGAGCUAAAAAGUCCGGAUACAAUUUAUGUAUAUCAAAUUGUAGCUAAACCUAUCAUAAACGAGUUGUGGGGUGUGGCAAGCUAGUCUGCAUAAUAUUAAAAAAUUAUUUAAAUUUUAACUUAUUUAAUAUAUACAAUUUGAUAUUAAUAUAUAACUUUUUUAACACACUUUCUAAGCCCAAUACAACUAAACUUAUAGAUCUAAUGUCUUGUAUUUGAGUUAAGACGUGAUCACAUGAAGUCUACAUAUAUAAUUUUUAAUAUAACUCAUUUAUUAAAUAUCUCAUUUUUAUUGGACUUCACUAUAAUAUAUAAACUUUUAGAUAUUAUCAAAAAUAUUAUAAUUUGAAUGUUUUUAUCAACACUUUUAUUAUGAACUAUUAUAUUAAAUUUGGUUGUGUGGAGUUCUCUAUCAGAAAAAAUUAUGUUGUCUUUUAGUUUUGUUGCAAAGGUUAUUUUCUUAUUAUGUUUUUGUUGUAAAAGUUAAAUCUAAUUAGAUACAUAAUUAAGAAAGGAAAAGUGAAAUCUAUAUGGUUUAAUGUCUUCUAAUUUGAUUUGAUACAUUAUUUUUAUUGGGCUUAAAAGGAUAGUAUGCAAAAUAGGAAAAUAAUAUAAUAUUUAACUUUAUAACAUUAUUGUAAUUUAUAAAUAUUUAUGUAAAUACAUAACUCUAUUUUUUAUUCAAAGUUCGUAACAUAAUAUUUAUUAUAUAUUUUUUAUUAUAGGUUGUUUUGUAAGAUAAUUUUUACCUAACGUUUAUUAUCAAGCCAAAGGUCCUAAAAAACAUUAAAAAAAAGCGAGUAGCCCAAAUCUGCUCGGUUAAGCCCGGCCCGAGCUCGGUUUUCAUAUAGCCCAGUUGGGCCGGCAAAAAAGCCCGGAUUCAAUUAAAACUGUUUUUAUUUGGCAAAUGAACUAAGGUGUAUUCUUACUUUUUAGUUCAUUUGUCAAGACUUUCAAAAGAAUCAUUUUAGAUCUUGAAAUCAAGUUUUAAGUGAUCAAACUAAAAUCGCAUUAAACAAUUUUUAAAGAAGUGAAAUUGCCAAAGUAAUAACUUAAACAUAAUUCAACAUAAUGAAACAAAAGUUACAAGAAAUAUUAGGAGCAUUAGUCAUCUUAAUCUAAAGAUUUAAGACACUUUACCAUACACAAAUGAGAAUGCAAAAUGAAUUUUUGCAUCUCAUUUGAUUACUCCUUCUCCUCUUGAAUUAAGGUAAUUUUAUUUAUAAUUUCUCUUCUUGCCUUUACCUCCACGAAUUUAAUUGCAGCCAAAAUUCAUAAUUAUGAAUGUAAAGUUCUUUUCUCAAAGUGAUAUUCUUUGACACCUUAGGCUGGAGGCGCGCCCAUAGUAUAUAUAAUCAAGGAUAGUGCAGCUAUAAAUUACACACAUUCAUGUUAUAGUAACUUUCAUAAUUUGGAAGCUUAUAUCUUAGAAGAAAUUGCACGACUCUAUGAAGAAAAUUAAACGAAGGACAUAAACACUAGGACACAUGAGGAGGCCCUAGUACGUACUAUUCGACAAACUUUCACAUGUUGGCAACUGAUACAGAUAUCAUCACAAAUUGAAUAAUUGUGAAUUGACAUAUUUGUCAUUAGAUUCAAACAACUACUAAGGUCAUCACCGACUAAUAAAAACGCCAAUUAUUGUACUACUUAUUGUUCUAGAAGAACUCAACAGAAAAUUUUCAUUUUUAUUGAGCUAUAAUAUAUAGUUGUAAUUAUUGUUUAGUCUCAUAUAUAAUCAUCGUAAACCAACUGGUAUUAGUUCAAGUGGUACAUGUUUGAUUCCCUUUAAGCAAGAACUCGGGUUCGAGUUUUGUAGAUAGAAAAAAAUACCUAUUAGAAGAGUUAGCCUCACAUACCUGUGAAUGUUUCCGGCUCGGUUAGGAUUGUUUCCAGUACGAUAAUACCUCUAAGAAACCAAAAAAAAAUAUAUAUCCAUUGUAUAAACUUGAGAGUUGUUUCCUUUUAACUAAUUAUUAGGUCAAAUUAACGUAAAUUAUUAUAAUUGUACAUACGCAGUAUAAUUCAGUGUAAUAAUUACAAACAACUUAGGUAUGAAUCAGAAUAUAUGAGUUGAACUCUCUUCUUUAUGGUACUCUCCGAUACUGAAAUACAAGGAAAACAUAUUAUUUUAAUAUUUUUUAUUAAAACAUAACUUAAAAUUAUAUUCAUCAAAUGUAAUUUUUGCCACAUAUUACAAUUCACAUUCAUUUAAAAUCUCUCGUAUUUCCGAAUAUUUGAUAUGGUUUGCAUUGGUCGUGAGAACUUCCCUCAUCAUAAUCUUUGAAAAUAAAAUAAAAAACAAAGGUGAACCAAACCUUUCAUUUGAUUUGUUAAUAUCGCGUGAAUCAUUGUUCUCUCAUACUCUUAGAAUAUUUGUAUUCACAUAGACAAAACACUCGUGGAAACAAAGGUUCAAUAUUUUUUCCAGUCAUGGACAAUAAAUAAAAGACAACAGAGAUUAGUCGAUGUCAUUUUCUGCUUAAUUAACAUUAAAUUAUAAUAUUAUAUUUUAAAUAAACAAAUCUCUAGUAAGACCUAGAAUAAUGAUGAUCUCACCGUAUGAAAAAUACAAGUCAUUAACGAUCUUCAAUUCUUUCAAANNNNNNNNNNNNNNNNNNNNNNNNNNNNNNNNNNNNNNNNNNNNNNNNNNNNNNNNNNNNNNNNNNNNNNNNNNNNNNNNNNNNNNNNNNNNNNNNNNNNUUAUUCUCAGAACAUUGAUAAGAGUCACAUUUUAAAAUAAAUAAUUUUUCAUAAGUUAAUCGAUAUACAUCAUGUAAGUAUGUAGUCCUAAAUCUAAAAUUUUAUGCAUAUGAAAAGUACAGAAUUUGAUAGAAUUUGUGUUUGGACAUGUAAUAAUACUCAAAUUAAACACAGAAUGCUACUUUCAAAAAAUAAUAUUUUAAAAAACAUUUCUAAAUCCAUUAAAAAAGAAAACAACUUACCAAAAACAAUGGAAAUACAAAAAUCCCAUCACCACAUAAUACAUGAUGAAGAAUGCAACAACCCAAAACACAAGAAAACAGAUAGAAAGACAGAAGAAUUCUUACAAAUCUCUCUCUCUCUUUCUCACCCUUUUUCUUACUAUGACUAUGUGAAUCUUAUCUAUAGCUUCCAUUUGGAUUUAAAUUUUAAAGGAGAAGAAAGGAAAAUGAAAGGUUUGAGAGACAUAAAAUACAUUUAUGAAUUGACUCUAAAACUUUCUAUUUCUCUUAAUUCUCUACCAAAACUCAACUCGCAAAAUGAAUACUUAUAAUAAAAGGGUUCAGAAAACAACACUUCUCUUUGCCACAGCAUAGCUUCUACUUCUUGGAUAAGAAU
RNAcentral lists this long non-coding RNA (8109 nucleotides) under Lupinus angustifolius (narrow-leaved blue lupine). RNAcentral describes it as "long non-coding RNA (LANG_LNC000426)". Lineage: Eukaryota; Viridiplantae; Streptophyta; Magnoliopsida; Fabales; Fabaceae. The record is from RNAcentral.